ACUGGGCAUAAAGUCAAAGAUCAGCCAUGGAUUAGAUAGGAGGGGGAAGAAAAGCCAGUAAGCCACCACAUUAUUUCUUCCUCAUAACCUCCAUCUACGGAUGAGCUAAAUGAUGUUGGAACUCUCCUUUCUUAUCUUGUUUCUCACUUCCAUUUCAGUCCUCAUCUUCAUUUGCUUCUUCCGCUCCACUUCUCAUACUCCAAGCAAAACCCCAUGUCCAGAAUCUUACCCUAUAAUAGGAAUCCUCCCCGGCCUCCUCCGCAACCGCCACCGCUUCCACGAUUGGGUCGCUGACAUGCUCUCCAAAACCCCAUCAUCGACUCUCCAAGUCAACAACUUUCUCAACCUCUCCCAUAUCAUCUGCACUGCCAACCCUGUCAAUGUAGAGCACCUCCUUGUCACCAACUUCUCCAACUAUAUCAAAGGUUAUCGUUAUCUUGACUAUUGUGAUGUUUUGAAAAUAAAUUAGUAGGAAAGGGCAACCAAGCCCUUGGUGGCUUAAAGAGUAAGUAUUAUUAAAUGAGAGGUAUUGUGGUAAUUGAAUAAUAGUUGAUAAAUAUAAAUAAAAAGAAUAAAAACAAAAGGAACAAAAAGAGGGAGCUGUGUUUUUGAGAGUAAACCGUGAGAGAGAAGGGAGAAGGAAGAAAAAGAAGAAGAAGAGAAAAGAGGGAAAUAUAAGGAAAGGAGAAGAGAAUUGAAGGAAAUAAGUUUAAAGGUUCUCCUAACAAUCCUCAAUAGGAUUUCGGGUCUUUUCGUCUGACAUUCCUUUUAGUUCUAUAUUUCCGGGUUCUUAGUUUCUGAUAGUAGGUGAACCUUGUUGAGUGUUCCUGCUUCUUCAGUUUUGGGUCGGUAUGCUUUGCUUAUCUUUCAAGGCUAUUUGAUUCGAUGUCUUAGGCGCUCCACUAUUACCUUGUUUUAAUUAAGUUUGGAUUUUUGACAAGGUAAUGAGUAUUAUGGAUUAUUGUUUUUGUUUUAAUUACUGAUGAGGAGUUUUUAACUAUCUUUUGGUUUCAUCAGUUUUGAAUAAUAUAAUAUUUCUGAAGGUUAUGAAAUGCUGCGUAUUUUUGAAUAAAUUAUUCUUUUGAUAUGUCUGUUUUGAGGCUUAGCUCAGGAGGGAUGUCCUUUCGCCACUGCUCCUGCGUUGCCGGUCAUGAACCCGAGAUUCGGGUCGUGACAACUAUCUCCAAGAACUCCUUGGCCAUGGAAUCUUUAACGUUGAUGGUCACCUCUGGACUGUACAACAUAAGAUUGCUAGCCAUGAAUUCAACACUAAAUCUCUCAAAGACUUCGUAUCAGAUAUAGUCAAAUCUGAAUUGUCCAAAAGUCUCAUGCCAGACUUAUUCAAAGCAUGUGAUCACAACUUGAUCAUCGAUAUGCAAGAGGUGUUGCAAAAGUUCACUUUCACUAACAUAUGCAAAGUUGCUUUGGGGUUGACCCAGAAUCCAUGUCAAAUUUAACUUUUGUUGAGGCUUUUGAUGAUGCUGUGGAAAUUGGGUUUUCAAGAUUUAUGGCUCCACUUCCUGCGUUAUGGAAGCUUCAAAGAUCCUUGAAUAUAGGAUCAGAGAAGAGACUUAAAGAAGCUGUUAAAGUGAUUAAUGAGUUUGCUUGGGAGGUAAUAAAAUCGAGACAAGAACAAGAUGGCGGCAAGAAUCAAGAUUUGCUGUCAAGAUUUAUGUUAUUGAGUUCUGACAUGGAAUUUCAAGGUCAAGAACAUAAAAGGAAGUUCUUGAGAGACAUAAUCAUAAGCUUUGUGCUUGCUGGCAAGGACUCAACUUCAACAGCUCUAACAUGGUUUUUUUGGUUAAUUGCUGGCAACCCUCAUUGUGGGUCUUUGAUUUACAAUGAAAUAUCAUCAGCCGCCCCGCUGCCUGCGACAGAUUCAAGGGCAAGGAUUUUGAGCUACGAAGAGUAGAAGAAUUUUCACUAUUUGCACGCUGCUCUAUCAGAGUCAAUGAGGUUGUUUCCACCUGUACCAAUCAAUUCAAGAUCAACGGUGGAAGAUGAUAUAUUACCAGAUGGGACCUAUGUUAGGAAAGGGUGGUUUGCUGAUUAUUCCGCUUAUGCAAUGGGUAGGAUGGAGAAAGUGUGGGGUCAGGAUUGCAGGGAGUUUAAGCCUGAGAGGUGGUUAGAUAGUGAUGGAGUGUAUCAACCGUUUGAUCAAUUUAGAUAUCCUGUGUUUCACUGCGGUCCCAGGAUGUGUUUGGGGAAGCAAAUGGCUUAUAUCCAAAUGAAGGCAAUAGCUGCAGCUGUGAUGCAUGACUUUGAGAUCUUGCCUGUUGAUGGAGGCGCCACUGCAAAUAAAAUGAUGAACCCACCUUACAGAUUAACCAUGGUUCUCAAGAUGAGAGGGGGCUUGCCUGUUAGGCUGAAGAGGAGAGUGACAUCUCAACAAUGACUCACAAGUCAACCAACGAGAUUAACGAGCAACAGGUUGCCUGAUUUGUAGCUCAUGAUUUUGAUUUGCACUUAAUAAAUUGUUCUGUCUAUGCUAAGAUUUCUUGGAAGGUGUAAUCAACUAUUUGUUUCUGCAUGAACUGGACAUUGGUAAACAAAACAAAGGAUUUUAUUUUUUGAAAA
Populus nigra (black poplar) is the source of this 2577-nucleotide long non-coding RNA. RefSeq lists it as uncharacterized. The transcript has 3 exons. Lineage: Eukaryota; Viridiplantae; Streptophyta; Magnoliopsida; Malpighiales; Salicaceae. The record is from RefSeq and is a predicted model, not a curated record.